AACAACUCCACCUCAUUGUUUCCCUCCUCCAUUUGCCCAUUGUAUUGUACAUUUCAAUGUUCUUCCAAAUUACUACCUGUCUCCGACCUGUCUGUGCUAUGUACGUAUGGUCGGGGGGUCCAAUUCCACUGCAGGUGCAAACUUGCAUGUGACAAAUAAAAGGUCUGAUUGAUUGAUAUUUACGUGUUACCAUAGCGACCAGAGACCCUUAAGGGGCAGAGAGGAGGAUGUUACUCUCAUUGUUGUUGGCGUAUCUCAGGAGGACGCUGCUAAUAAAGUUACACAAUUACACAGUGAAUUCGCGUUUAUUAUUAUAUUUACAAAAUACCACUGUCUUGGUCGUAUCAUUUUAUUUUGUUGUAUUUAUCCGUGACACCUUAAUGGUCGGUGAAAAUAUUGUCGGACAUUAAACCGGUCCAUGCCGCAAAAAAGGUUGGGGGCUGCUGCUGCUGAGAAAUAAACACUCGUGCAACGGUAGAUGGCAUACAAGCUUUUAAAAAGUAUGCUCAGGUGACUUGAGCCGCCACACGGUUUCCGUAGCGUAGUGGUUAUCACGUUCGCCUAACACGGAAACAUUAUGUGUUUAUUUUAUUUCACUUUAUUUUUUUCAUUUAUUUGUCUUCUUGAAGUAACCAAACCAUAUGCCAUGCAGUCGUGUGGUCUUGGCGCGUUGUGGGUAACAAGUGAAACAAAUAUAAACUGACUGUGUGAAAACUGAAUUGUCCGAUAUGUCCCUGAACGCGACCCGUACUCAGGAAGCACGCAUGUGUCGCUGCAGCUGUUGUUUAGCGCCGUGUUGCAGUACGUGCUUUAAAAAAAACUAUGCAGCCACAGACUUUCUAACUCUCACCAACUACCGAUGUGUUUGUUUUCUGCUUCAGCUGUGGACUGAGAAGAUGUGGCAGUGAAGAUGAUGCCUUCAGAUAAUAUCUUGGUUUUCUCUACAAGAAAGCUGACUAGGAGUCUAGCCAGGUGCCUGAGCAAGGACCAGGGUUUUUGACACAAUCUUAGCAGUUUCUAAUGACUUUGGGCUUUAAAUGUCAAUAUGGACGGCAUUGAUGAAAGCUACAUCUGGGAGCGCCGCAUUGCCCAUGGCAUUAGGUAUCAAAGAGGAGCAGUCCCCUUCCCAGAAUCGGUUGAUAUUGGUCUGGAGUUCAAUGCGGCACUUGAAAGGAAGGAGAAGCUGGAUCAGAGCCUGCUGACGAAUAGUGUUAUGCUGGAAAUUUGUCAGUUUGCCAAAACGGUGACCAGGUCUGAGAAGUAUUUCUUGUUCGAAAUGCUGGAGUUCAACUUCGACCUUGGCUUUGACAUAAACAAUGACAGUCUGUGCUACAUCUAUGCAGUUCGUGUCCACAACAGAAUUAAGCACCUGAAGGAGCAAAUAAAGAUGAAGCCAAAUAGAUGGAAAGAAACAUUUCAGUUGCCAGAUCCAAGUGUUUUAGCCGGGUCCAAAGAAGACGUGUCAGGACGAUACUGUCCAAAAUGGAACAAAAUUGCUGAUAGUUCAGUGCUCACUGUCUCCAGCAAGAACUGCCAGUCUUCAGACAACCACGAAGCUGAAACUACCAGAGUUGCUAGCAAUAAAUACACUGCAAAACAACAAGGAGGAAUCCGUUUAAGAAAAACACAGGGCGCUAACCCUUUCUGUGCACAGCUUGGUGUGACCCUAGCUAUUCGACCAAGUCACGCCCCCAAACAGAAGUUGGACCCAAGUCUGCUCAUCAAUGGCAAAGGAUGCAAGUCAGGAAUCAUACUGGUGUCUGUUCUCUGAGGGAAGAUGUGCAGAAACCUCAAAGCAGAGGCUGUGGCUGAGGCGCGCUGCUCGCACAAAACAGAUCCUGACAUCGAGCCGAGUGAAUGACAUGUUCGCCCAUUGCAGAGAGAUCGGAUUAGACUUCAACUUUUGUUCACCAAAACGGAGCUUAGAUCUACAACUGUUGAGCAACUGGGUGAUGUGGGAGGUUUUCAAGUUUGGAACUGCUUUGUUGAGGAGUGUACGCAGUUUUUUAUUUGAAAUUCUCUUAAACAACUUUACUCUUACGCUCCAAGAUGAGCAACAUGAGCGCAAUUUCUUAGUUUACAUGAUGGCAAAACAUAAAAAUCUUGUGAGCCACCCAAAGAGUCAGAAUAUGGAUUUUCUCUGCAAGCCUUUCAAACUUCCUGAGAUUUACCACAUGGUUGAUGUGACCAGCAAUUUUCAGACUCAACAGGAACUCCAGAGUCAAGGGCAGGAAGGGUUAGAUUCAUCAGAUUCAGCAAAGAGUGAAGAAGCUGAAAAAGAAAAACACCCUUUCUGUAAAAAGUUGGGUCUAAACCUUUGGUCAACCAAAGAACGCCCAUCAGACCAGAAGCUUGAUUUGACCGUCCUGACAACCGGCGCUGUGCUUGAGAUCUUCAGCUUUGUAAAGGAGCUGUGUGGUGAGGCCCGCAAUACUGUUAAUGACAUUCUUGAGCACAAUUUUGAUCUUGAUCUUCAAAGUGGUGAGACUGAGGCUGCGCAGAAGAUCCAGAGAUGGUACACAACACAGAAAAGCUUGAUGAAAAAGCAAAACAUGUCACCGAAAAUCAACAGGUGGUUAAAUAUGAUCGUCCCGCUGAAUGGCAACUUGCAAGAGAUUCCACACUCACCAACUGAAGAUGGGGACCCAGAUCUAGAAGGGGAGCUGGAUGGCUUUGGUGGAUUUGUCAAAUGCUUUGACUACCAGAACUGCAAGGAGAUCGGACUGGACCUCGACCCCAGCUCCAAAUCAGAAACCAAAACAAAACUUGAUUUGCAAGUUCUGACAAGAGGAGUUUUGUUUGAGGUGCACCAAUAUGUGCAGCAAAACUACAACCGAUAUGUUCCUGCUCUGUAUGAGAUUCUGGAGUACAACUUUGAUCUGAGCUCUCAGAGCCACCGGAAGGUGGAGUUCGCCUGGUCCAUCGCCUCACAGGUCAUAGCCAUGACUGGCAAAAAACGCAGAAAAGGGGAUUACCUGAACAAAGUUUUUGAGCUCCCUUUCGAGGUCUCCAAGUUCCCUGAGUCUUCCCAGGUGGUCUUUAAAGAGGAGCCGGAGGAUGACUUUGGCGAGCCGGACCUUAAUAAUGACAAUGAUGACAUUGUGUUUGUCCGAAAACUGAAGCCUGUUGAUAUGGAAGUCGAGAUAGAAUAAAGUCCUAGCUGCUGUUUGUAUUUUAAAUGUCAGUUUUCAGGAUAGAGCUGCAACUGAAUCGCUUUAUAUCUACUUAAACCAGUUAAAUUUACCUUUACCCAUUUAUAUAGAAAUGGGGAUCCUCUUCCUGUUUCUGUUCAGCGUGUGCCUAAAAUCCAGCUUGACCUUAACCCUGGUGGACAUAAAGAAGAUGAGAGUGAUCGAUUUUUGUUUUGGUCUAUAAAGUGUCAAAAAACAACUCUCGUAAUCUUUUUUUUUUUCUUUUUUAACUGUUGACAUCUUGGAUUACUUGUGUUCUAGCAAAUGUCUUUUAACUCAAAGAAGAAAUACUCGCAUUCAAUCAUGAAGGCCAAAUAAAUAUCUCAGAUGUGCUGCAGAUGUUUACAGGGGGCAGGAAAAAUAAAGAUUAAACUUUGUUCUCAAGUUAGUGAAUGUUAUUGCCCACCAGAUCCAGCUGUGUCUCUGGAAGUGGGGUCUUUGCAGUCUCGAUUACAACGAAAGACAAUAAAGGUUCUAAAAUGUGAACGACGUGUUACUGCUGGGCCUCCUCGACUCCACUGUGGUUCAGUGCUGCUUUAUUCACAGUAGAGUUCUUUUGCUUAUAAUUAUGUGUGUUACGACUGGAGUGUAACAAAAAAGUUGUGCCACUUUUUUUCUCCAAACAAGGAAGUAGACUAUCCACGUUAAUGUUAACCGGUAGAAAUUCAACCCUCAGUGAUGUGAGUUAAAGAGGACAGAAUGAAUGGUCAAGGCUGCCAUAUUGGUAUUUAAUUGUUUUGACUGAUUCGUGAUGUCAACUCCAUCAUUUAAUAAAAUGUGAAAGAAAAC
Oreochromis aureus is the source of this 3980-nucleotide long non-coding RNA. The record is from Ensembl. Lineage: Eukaryota; Metazoa; Chordata; Actinopteri; Cichliformes; Cichlidae.